Molecule: long non-coding RNA, 388 nt
Organism: Pantherophis guttatus
Lineage: Eukaryota; Metazoa; Chordata; Lepidosauria; Squamata; Colubridae
Source: RefSeq, a predicted model, not a curated record
AUCCAUUGCAUCAGCUAGCAACUCAAUCUGCCUGCCUGCAAUCAAUCCAAUCGGUGAGCAACUCAAUCUGCCUGCCUGCCUGCCUUGUGUCUUCAAUUUGACCCUAACCACCACUCCAAGAUUGAAGGGAGAGGGAAAGGAAGAUGGACGGGGAGAAUGGUGUUUAUUAGUAUUUUAAGCUUGAAGAUUAAUUGCUUAACAACUUGCUGACUGCCAAAGGAAUCUUCCCAAGAAAUUGGGCUGGACACUCUUCUAAUCCCAACAUGAAGGGAACACCCGGAAAAACACCUGUGGCAACAGCAAUACUAGAGCAAGAUGGUGAAUGAAAUAAUAAUUGAAUUAUCUUGGAUGAUCAGAUUCCAGUGAUAGAUGAUAGAUGAUAGAUGAU